RNAcentral lists this ribosomal RNA (437 nucleotides) under uncultured Oscillospiraceae bacterium. RNAcentral describes it as "bacterial SSU rRNA". It matches the Rfam family "Bacterial small subunit ribosomal RNA", at positions 341 to 792 of the family's 1533-position model. Lineage: Bacteria; Bacillati; Bacillota; Clostridia; Eubacteriales; Oscillospiraceae. The record is from RNAcentral.
ACGGAAGGCAGCAGUGGGGAAUAUUGGGCAAUGGACGAAAGUCUGACCCAGCGACGCCGCGUGAGGGAAGAAGGUCUUCGGAUUGUAAACCUUAGUUAUCGGGGAAGAAGAAAGUGACGGUACCCGAAGAGAAGGCCACGGCUAACUACGUGCCAGCAGCCGCGGUAAUACGUAGGUGGCGAGCGUUAUCCGGAUUUACUGGGUGUAAAGGGUGUGUAGGCGGGACUGCAAGUCAGAUGUGAAAACUAUGGGCUUAACUCAUAGCCUGCAUUUGAAACUGUGGUUCUUGAGUGUCGGAGAGGUAAAUGGAAUUCCUGGUGUAGCGGUGAAAUGCGUAGAGAUCGGGAGGAACACCAGUGGCGAAGGCGAUUUACUGGACGACAACUGACGCUGAGACACGAAAGCGUGGGGAGCAAACAGGAUUAGAUACCCUGGUA